RNAcentral lists this transfer RNA (68 nucleotides) under Euglesa coreana. Its description in RNAcentral is "tRNA-Leu". Lineage: Eukaryota; Metazoa; Mollusca; Bivalvia; Venerida; Sphaeriidae. The record is from RNAcentral.
UACUAAAAUAGCAAAAUUAAGUGUUUCUAGUUUAGGUCUAGAGGGUGUAAUGUGUUUACUUUUAGUAU